RNAcentral lists this long non-coding RNA (946 nucleotides) under Sus scrofa (pig). RNAcentral's name for it is "lncRNA (ENSSSCG00025076990.1)". The record is from RNAcentral. Lineage: Eukaryota; Metazoa; Chordata; Mammalia; Artiodactyla; Suidae.
GGAAUGUUUGGGAAAUCCUGGGUUACCUAGAUUUCCUUCCGAAGAGAGUGCUUUGUAGAACAUGAACACAUGCUGUGGGUCUCUGAGAGGGGGCUACAGAAUACACCCCUUCCCUCCAUUUUGUGACCACAGAAUCUUUUUUUCCUCCUCUAAGUAUCCCAAGAGACUGUGGAUUCGUGCAGCUGAGAAACACUGAGCUAAAGUAUUCAUCAGAGAAAAGCACUACGUGUGGAAUCAUUUUCACCUUCGAGCCAGGCUUCUGGCUUCAGACUGGAUCCUCUCAGCCUUUUGUCAUGUGGGUGGGUGGCCCCAUUCCCCAUUUGAAGGUAGAACUGGAUGGAACAGAGAAUGGCCAACAGUCCACUCCAGAAGCUCAACACGGGGCACUGGGCCUUUGGGAAGAUAUUUAUUGAGCACCUAUUGGGUGCCAUCAGUUUGCUCAGGAGCUUUGUAGAAGGAGCCCUGUAAGAGAUGCGUAUUCCAGGCGCACAGUCAGAAGCCAGCCAGACAAGCCCAGAAAGGAGUACCACAUUGAUUCAUGACCAGACCUGCCGAUUUCCCACUCAUCCUAAUCAUUCUUCUAAGGAGGGGCUCCAGAAACCCAAGAGAUUGAGAGACCUGGUCAGAAAUAGAUCUGGGUACAAAGGACACACUCAACAAGUGGUAGCUGUUGACCUCACUGUCACCAUUCCCAACAUCGUCCCCAGCUUUGCCAUCACCACCACCAUCAUUACCAGAGUUAUUGCCAAAAUUGUCAGCAGCAGCACCAACACAGUGAUCACCAUCUUCAUUAUUGCCAAGUCACUAUCCCCAUCAUCAUCAUCAUCACUAUCAUCCAAGAUUUCUCUUAGAUUAUCCACUUUCUUAGGUUGGGGAACCCUGUUUUCUCUGUUAUUGCAGACAAAAUGACAAUAAAUACAUAGACUCACCUGGCUUAAAAAUAGUG